GAUGAACGCUGGCGGCGUGCCUAAUACAUGCCAGUCGAGCGAACAGACGAGGAGCUUGCUCCUCUGACGUUAGCGGCGGACGGGUGAGUAACACGUGGAUAACCUACCUAUAAGACUGGGAUAACUUCGGGAAACCGGAGCUAAUACCGGAUAAUAUAUUGAACCGCAUGGUUCAAUAGUGAAAGACGGUUUUGCUGUCACUUAUAGAUGGAUCCGCGCCGCAUUAGCUAGUUGGUAAGGUAACGGCUUACCAAGGCAACGAUGCGUAGCCGACCUGAGAGGGUGAUCGGCCACACUGGAACUGAGACACGGUCCAGACUCCUACGGGAGGCAGCAGUAGGGAAUCUUCCGCAAUGGGCGAAAGCCUGACGGAGCAACGCCGCGUGAGUGAUGAAGGUCUUCGGAUCGUAAAACUCUGUUAUUAGGGAAGAACAAAUGUGUAAGUAACUAUGCACGUCUUGACGGUACCUAAUCAGAAAGCCGCGGCUAACUACGUG
This 497-nucleotide ribosomal RNA is filed under the name uncultured bacterium. RNAcentral's name for it is "partial 16S ribosomal RNA". It matches the Rfam family "Bacterial small subunit ribosomal RNA", at positions 28 to 507 of the family's 1533-position model. The record is from RNAcentral.